AUUGAACGCUGGCGGCAGGCUUAACACAUGCAAGUCGAACGGCAACAGGUAGAAGCUUGCUUCCUUGCUGACGAGUGGCGGACGUGUGAUCAUUGUCUGCCCAACUGCCUGAUGUAGGGUGUCAACUACUGGACUCGUUAUCCAAUACCUCAUCACGUGCAAAGAGGUAAGAGGGGGACCUUCGGGCCUUUUGCCAUCGGAUGUGCCCAGAUGUGAUUUGCUAGUAGGUGGGGUAACGGCUCGCCUAGGCGACGGUCGGUAGCUGGUCUGAGAGGAGGACCAGCCACACUGGAACUGAGACACGGUCCAGACUCCUACGGGAGGCAGAAGUGGGGAAUAUUGGACAAUGGGAGCAAGCCUGAUGCAGCCAUGCCGCGUGGAUGAAGAAGGCCUUCGGGUUGUAAAGUACUUUUAGCAGGGAAGAAGGGAGAAAAGUUAAUAUCUUUGCUCAAUGACGUUACCCGCAGAAGAAGCACCGGCUAACUCCGUG
RNAcentral lists this ribosomal RNA (490 nucleotides) under uncultured bacterium. RNAcentral describes it as "partial 16S ribosomal RNA". It matches the Rfam family "Bacterial small subunit ribosomal RNA", at positions 30 to 507 of the family's 1533-position model. The record is from RNAcentral.